Dipodomys spectabilis (banner-tailed kangaroo rat) is the source of this 2638-nucleotide long non-coding RNA. RefSeq lists it as uncharacterized. NCBI's taxonomy places the organism in Eukaryota, Metazoa, Chordata, Mammalia, Rodentia, Heteromyidae. The transcript is spliced from 3 exons. The record is from RefSeq and is a predicted model, not a curated record.
UCUAAGCCGUGGUCCCGGGGCUGUUGAGUUGCUUGUCAGGGACCUGACUGGGUAAAGACCAUCUUCUCAUGUGCAGGAGGGGAUUUCGUCCAUCUUUUUGUUCAUCCAUCACCCGUCCAUCCAUCCAUCUUGUCACUCCUGUGCUCAUCUUUUUAUCUGUCCGUCUUUUCAUUCCUCCAUUUUUCAUCCAUAUAUUCAUUCACUACUUGUAUACGUUCAUUGCUUUUCAUCUGUUCAUUUGUGGAUGCAUCGAGUCAUUGUCUUUUCAUUGAUUUUUCAUCCAUCCCUCUCUUCACCCCUUCAUCUUUUCAUUCAUCCCGUCUUUUCAUUCCUCCACUUUUCAUCCAUCUCUUCACUCAUGGUCCUCUUCUCAUCUGGUCCUCUGUUCGCCUAUCCCUUUUUUUCAUUCAUUCUUCCUCCGUCAGUCUUUUCGCUCCUCCGUGUCUCGUUCUGUUUGUUUUCUCCACAAGGUGCAGUGGGACUCCUAAGCUUUUAUGUCGUCCUCAAGCCUCCACACGUGGACGCCUCCCCAGUGCUACCACUCUCCCCCCCAAGCGACUGCUCACCCGCAGGCUUCCUUGCUUCCUUUUUGUUUCUGUCAGGACUGGGGCUUGAACUCAGGGCCCCUCACUUUCCUUUAACCUUUCCUGCACAGGCUGACACUUUACCACCGGAACCACAGCUCUGCUUCCGGCUUUUGGGUGCCUGAUUGCAGAUAAGUUUCCCCAGGCUCUCCUGCCUGGGCUGGCCGCAGACCUCCAUCCUCAGAUCUCAGCCUCCCGAGUUGCUGGGAUGACAGGCGUGAGCCCUGGCGCCUGAUCAGCAAUCCCAACUUUUCAAUCUGGAUUUUUCUCAGGCAACAGGUUCUGGUGUCUCUCCCCUUCACAGUGAAUGAAUCUUGCUAUAGCCAUGCUUUCGACAGGUGGAGGCCGGGGUGGCUGAGCACCUGGGGCAGAAAGCUUCACCGAGGAGGAGGUGAGGCUCUAGCUGGCAGCCCGCAGGCCGGAGAAGCUCACAUCCAGAUGCUUGCUGAUGGCCUCCCGCUGACUGGCUAUGACCCACCCCAGCGAGGGCAGAUGACUCUGCUGACGUAAAAGCAUAUUCUACGACGUAAGAUGUGUACGUUCAGGGCUGGGCCCGUCAAAGCUGUCCAACAGCCCCAGUGAACCGCAGACCUCAGACUUCUGAUAAACAGGGAUUACAGAGGUCCACAGAGAUGAUUUUGGCAGCUUAUAAAUUCUGAUGACGAGCCAGGCAAGUGGCUUACUCCUGGAAGCCCAGCUACACAGACGGCUGAGAUCUGAGGACUGCAGUUCAAAGUCAAGACUCAGCGGGAAAGUCUGCGAGACUCUCAUCUCCAGUGAACCAGCAAAAAGCUGGAAGUGGAGCUGUGGCUCAACUGGCUGAACCCAGCCUUGAGUGAAAAAUGGUAAGGGACAGCGCGCCCAGCUCUGACUUCAAGUCCCAGCACUGGCACAGGAAAAAAGAAAAGAGAACUGUGACGGGAAACUCAGGAUUCGUGAUAGGAGGAUGCGUGUGGUUUUCCUUAGCAUGAUUCCUCUACUUGAGUCCAUCUAACUCACGGUAACUGACGGACAUACGGCACUCCAAGAUUUCUUGGCAAUUUCUAACUGUGAAGUUUGACAUACCUCUGAUUUAACAUCUGGAUGUCAAGGGAAUGCCAUUGACUUUUAUAAAGCGUUUUGGUGUUUUUUCUUUGUGAAUAAGGUCUCAAAUUCUCUGAAAAGCCAUAAAAUGAGUUAUAUAGGAUGCAUGGGACCCUAAAAAUAAGGCAUAUCGUGGGUAUACGUCGCUCAUCACAAAAGCUAUAAAGUACUCUGAGUUUGAAUUAGCUCCUUUUUUUACAUAUAUAUAGAUAUGAAAUAACUACUACAAAUCAAGAGCAGGUGGUUACAGGCAAUAGUUAUUUAUGUAAAAAUUAUUAAUCUCUCAGUUCUUUGCAAAGCAGCUCAACGGCCAAAUCAGUAACUCUAGAACCUCAAAAGGAUUGUAUUUUCAGACCACUAUCUGGAUGAGAAAAAGGCCACAAGGUAUGACUUUCCAUUUUCUAGAAGCUUCUCUAUAUAUUCCCUAGCCAUUCUUAACAAUUUUUCAUAGGAAAUCUAAAUUAAGCAGCAUACAUACCCAGCAUUCAAUGAAGCCAAAACAAAGUCAAAUAUGUUCAAAUGCCCAUAGCUGCCUUCCAUGCAUAAGAUAUUUCUCUCUUUAUAGUUGCCAGGGCAUUACUCUAUAGAUCUACAUUUAUUUCAUGGCAUGUAAUUAAUAGAAAACGUGAAUUUUCUUCAGAACUUGAACAUUUUAGAUACAUAUCUUAAUUAUCAGUACCAAAUCUGAUCAGAGGGAUGGAGCAAUGGCUGAGAGCUAUCUGGCAAAAGGUGUCUAAAUGUUAUUUGUGAAUGUUACCUAAGUCAUCAUUUUUGGUUUUAUAAAUAAAAUGAUAUAUGUAUAAGUAGCGAUCACUGUCUUUUAUAAAAGUCAACUUAAAAACAUACUCUUGACUUCUAUCAAAAAGAGAGUAUCUAAAUCUAAUCUCCCCUUUGUCUCACUGACCAGAGAAAACACACUUGUUGGUAAUAUAAAUUAUUUGCAAGCCAUUACUUACUUGGGGUGUCUAUAC